AUUGGGCGUGGUGGCGUGCGCCUGUAAUCCCAGCAGCUCAGGAGACUGAGGCAGGAGGAUUACCAGUUCAAAGCCAGCCUCAGCAAUUUAGGGAGGCCCUCAGCAACUAAAACUCCUGUCUUUA
RNAcentral lists this small RNA (124 nucleotides) under Marmota monax (woodchuck). The record is from RNAcentral. Lineage: Eukaryota; Metazoa; Chordata; Mammalia; Rodentia; Sciuridae.